Molecule: ribosomal RNA, 763 nt
Filed under: Rhodacaridae gen. n. sp. NFS-2015
Lineage: Eukaryota; Metazoa; Arthropoda; Arachnida; Mesostigmata; Rhodacaridae
Description: eukaryotic LSU rRNA
Rfam family: Eukaryotic large subunit ribosomal RNA
Source: RNAcentral
GGUGUAAGGUGUCUCGUGUUUAACAAACGCACGGCCUAAUUAUUAUUGAGUGAGUGCUCAGAGAAGGUGAAAAGCCUGUGUGGUUGUGCAAGUUUGUUGAACCCUGAUGCUGAAGAGUCUAGUUGUUUGAGAGUACAACUUAAAGCUGGUGGUAAAUUCCAUCAAAGGCUAAAUAUAUGAGGGGACUAAUAGCGAACAAGUACCAUGAGGGAAAGUUGAAAAGAACUCUGAUGAGAGAGUUCAACAGUACGUGAAACCAUAAUGAGUAAAACAGAUAACUGUGUUGUUAAUGUGGUAUGCUCUUCAACAGUGCAUUUGGUGUUGCGAGGCCACGAGAGUCAGCUGUUUUUUCAGUGAAGAGCUCGCGGUUAGCAUAGCCAGAGUUUCUGUGAUCUGGUGCAUACUCAAUCAUUGAGAAGCUAUACUGCUGCGGUAUCGGUGUACUUCAGCCUGCACUAUGUGCGCAGUUGUGCGUUGGACGCUGCUAGCGGUGUAGCUUAGCUGUGUGACAGCUGCGUUGUGCUUUUAGUGAAUGUGUCUGUUUUGUCUGCGAAUCGGUUUAUUCCUUUUUGCGGUGAACAUGUCAUAGUAGCUAAGCAUCUCGUCAUCAAUGGUUAAACAUUAGUUAUUUGACCCGUCUUGAAACACGGACCAAGGAGUUCAAUAUAGCACGCGAGUCAUUGGGUCUUAGUACCUGAAGGCGAAGUGAAAUGCGAAUGUAUUGUUAUUUGUGGUUGUUCCAUGAUUAAGUGCAUAAGCUACU